CAACAACAGUGGGGUGGACAACAACAGUGAGGUGGACAACAACAGUGAGGUGGACAACAACAGUGAGGUGGACAACAACAGUGGGGUGGACAACAACAGUGGGGUGGACAUCAACAGUGGGGUGGACAACGACAGUGGGGUGGACAACGACAGUGGGGUGGACAACAGUGGGAUGGACAACAACAGUGGGGUGGACAAUGACAGUGGGGUGGACAACAACAAUGGGGUGGACAACAACAGUGAGGUGGACAACAACAGUGGGGUGGACAACAACAGUGGGGUGGACAUCAACAGUGGGGUGGACAACAACAGUGGGGUGGACAACAACAGUGAGGUGGACAACAGUGGGGUGGACAACAACAGUGGGGUGGACAACAACAGUGGGGUGGACAACAGUGAGGUGGACAACAGUGGUGUGGACAACAGUGGGGUGGACAACAACAGUGG
Long non-coding RNA from Oncorhynchus tshawytscha (Chinook salmon), 447 nucleotides. The record is from Ensembl. NCBI's taxonomy places the organism in Eukaryota, Metazoa, Chordata, Actinopteri, Salmoniformes, Salmonidae.